GUGCCAGCAGCCGCGGUAAUACGGAGGGGGUUAGCGUUGUUCGGAAUUACUGGGCGUAAAGCGCGCGUUGGCGGAUUAGAAAGUUGGGGGUGAAAUCCCGGGGCUCAACCCCGGAACUGCCUCCAAAACUGCUAGUCUAGAGUUCGAGAGAGGUGAGUGGAAUUCCGAGUGUAGAGGUGAAAUUCGUAGAUAUUCGGAGGAACACCAGUGGCGAAGGCGGCUCACUGGCUCGAUACUGACGCUGAGGUGCGAAAGUGUGGGGAGCAAACAGGAUUAGAUACCCUGGUAGUCCACACCGUAAACGAUGAAUGCCAGUCGUCGGAUAGUAUACUAUUCGGUGACACACCUAACGGAUUAAGCAUUCCGCCUGGGGAGUACGGUCGCAAGAUUAAAACUCAAA
RNAcentral lists this ribosomal RNA (400 nucleotides) under uncultured bacterium. Its description in RNAcentral is "bacterial SSU rRNA". It matches the Rfam family "Bacterial small subunit ribosomal RNA", at positions 505 to 905 of the family's 1533-position model. The record is from RNAcentral.